This is a transfer RNA of Bifidobacterium psychraerophilum, 83 nucleotides long. It matches the Rfam family "tRNA". From Rfam's summary of the family: Transfer RNA (tRNA) molecules are approximately 80 nucleotides in length. Their secondary structure includes four short double-helical elements and three loops (D, anti-codon, and T loops). Further hydrogen bonds mediate the characteristic L-shaped molecular structure. tRNAs have two regions of fundamental functional importance: the anti-codon, which is responsible for specific mRNA codon recognition, and the 3' end, to which the tRNAs corresponding amino acid is attached (by aminoacyl-tRNA synthetases). tRNAs cope with the degeneracy of the genetic code in two manners: having more than one tRNA (with a specific anti-codon) for a particular amino acid; and 'wobble' base-pairing, i.e. permitting non-standard base-pairing at the 3rd anti-codon position. The record is from Rfam. Lineage: Bacteria; Bacillati; Actinomycetota; Actinomycetes; Bifidobacteriales; Bifidobacteriaceae.
GGACGGGUGUCUGAGCGGUCUAAAGAGACGGUCUUGAAAACCGUUGAGCGAAAGCUCCGCGAGUUCGAAUCUCGCCCCGUCCG